This 357-nucleotide long non-coding RNA is filed under the name Nicotiana benthamiana. RNAcentral describes it as "long non-coding RNA (NBEN_LNC021901)". Lineage: Eukaryota; Viridiplantae; Streptophyta; Magnoliopsida; Solanales; Solanaceae. The record is from RNAcentral.
UAACAUUAAGCAAAAAUCAACUGACUCCAAACGCCUCAAAACAAUCGCAACUUCAUAAGCCUUAGAUUUGAAAUUCGUUAAGCUUCAGUGACAUUCGAAGGGUUUUGAACAAAGAUUCAAGGAGAGAAAAGGCCGGAGACUAUCUGGUAUCAAUUUUGGAACGUUUGAACGAUUUUGGUUUUGGGUCAGAUUUUUAAAACCAAGAUUCGAGGGAAUAUGGUCGGGGAUUAGUGAUGAGGGAGAGGUGGGGGAGUUGUUUUGUAAAUUUUGGGGUGAAUGGAGGCGGCGCCGCCACUGGUGGUUUGGGAAUUUUAGGGCGGCAUCUGUAGGGUUCUUGGAGGGUAUGGGGGUGUGAGG